UCUGGCUCAGGAUGAACGCUGGCGGCGUGCCUAACACAUGCAAGUCGAACGGAGUUAUGACGCUGACGAGACUUCGGUCAAAUCUUGUUGUAACUUAGUGGCGGACGGGUGAGUAACGCGUGGAUAACCUGCCAUAUACAGGGGGAUAACAGUUAGAAAUGACUGCUAAUACCGCAUAAGCGCACGGUCCCGCAUGGGACAGUGUGAAAAAACUCCGGUGGUAUAUGAUGGAUCCGCGUCUGAUUAGCCAGUUGGCGGGGUAACGGCCCACCAAAGCGACGAUCAGUAGCCGGCCUGAGAGGGUGAACGGCCACAUUGGGACUGAGACACGGCCCAAACUCCUACGGGAGGCAGCAGUGGGGGAUAUUGCACAAUGGGGGAAACCCUGAUGCAAGCGACGCCGCGUGAGUGAAGAAGUAUUUCGGUAUGUAAAGCUCUAUCAGCAGGGAAGAUAAUGACGGUACCUGACUAAGAAGCACCGGCUAAAUACGUGCCAGCCGCCGC
Molecule: ribosomal RNA, 504 nt
Filed under: uncultured bacterium
Lineage: Bacteria
Description: bacterial SSU rRNA
Rfam family: Bacterial small subunit ribosomal RNA
Source: RNAcentral